UACGUAGGUGGCAAGCGUUGUCCGGAUUUACUGGGCGUAAAGGGCUCGUAGGCGGCCAACUAAGUCAGACGUGAAAUCCCUCGGCUUAACCGGGGAACUGCAUCUGAUACUGGAUGGCUUGAGUUCGGGAGAGGGAUGCGGAAUUCCAGGUGUAGCGGUGAAAUGCGUAGAUAUCUGGAGGAACACCGGUGGCGAAGGCGGCAUCCUGGACCGACACUGACGCUGAGGAGCGAAAGCCAGGGGAGCAAACGGG
Molecule: ribosomal RNA, 253 nt
Filed under: uncultured bacterium
Lineage: Bacteria
Description: partial 16S ribosomal RNA
Rfam family: Bacterial small subunit ribosomal RNA
Source: RNAcentral